RNAcentral lists this long non-coding RNA (1249 nucleotides) under Oryctolagus cuniculus (rabbit). Its description in RNAcentral is "lncRNA (ENSOCUG00000030557.1)". Lineage: Eukaryota; Metazoa; Chordata; Mammalia; Lagomorpha; Leporidae. The record is from RNAcentral.
AUGUUAAAGAGGCAGGAGUCUUUAUUGAUACCAUACAGUGCUCCUUCUCCAAAAGAGCAGAUGUCGCUAAAGGAAGAUUGCUGCCCGGAAAUGAUCUGCCAGCAACAUAGUUUUCGGAGACCCACUACUACAUCAUUCCUGAGUACCUGUCUCCGAGACAACUGUGGAUUAAAGGAUGAGAAGGAUGCUCAGGAGUACAUAUCCAGGUGGGUUCUCAUUGGGGUGUAUGAAGGUAAGUUCAUCAAAUAGGGAUGUCCUCGAAGGUAAGGGAAGUAAGGUUUAGCUUGUGAGGCUCUGUUCUUCUAUUCAGGUCACUUUUCCUCUUUCAUUUCUGACUCAUUUUUUUUUAAGAGGUUGGGAGGGAAGGUGGUAGGGAAAAAGGGAAUAUAAUUAUAUUCUUAGAAUUGUAACUAUGUACUAUAUUGAAUAUGUUAAAAACUAAUUUAAAAAGAGAGAGAGAAAGAAAUAUCUUCUAUCCACUGGUUCACUCCCCAGAGACCACAAUAGCUGAGGGCCCAGAACUACACUACCCACGUGGAGCGUGUAGCUUUCCCAGGCACAUUAGAAGGAGCUGGAUUGGAGGAGUAGUUGGAACUUGAACCAGUGCUCUUGUAGGUUGCUGGCGUUGGGGGUGGUGGCUUAACCUGCUAUAUCACAACACUGGGCUCUCUUACUAAUUGCUGCCUCUUCCCUGGGUCAGAGUUUUGGAAAGAAGGGAUGCGUGUUAAUCAUGUAAGGAAAAAUUACAGAAAGACUUUCCAAAAAAAUUUUUUUUAAAGAAAAAAGAAAAAAAAUUACUGGGUAUCCUGUGAAAUUUGAGGUCUGUCUAGGGUAUCCACCUGGAUUAUCUGACUUUAUAGUGGUCUAUUUCUCUAAUUGUCCUUGAAGUGGUUUUUAAUUUCUGCAAGUUGUAGAGAUCUUACAAAUUUUUCUUGUUAGCAUACCCAUAGAAUGGCAGAUGUCCUAAACAGCACUCUGGCCUCAGAAUCAGCCCUUAAGGCAUGCGGAUCUGGCUGAAAUGCCCAUGAGAGUAUUUCAGGCAUGGAAAGCCAAGACACUCUGGGGAAAAAAAAAAAAAACCUAAAUGAAAGUAAAUGAAAGAUCUCCGCGAGUGAGAUCCCAGUGGAAAGAACGGGUCAUCAAAGAAGGAGGUACCUUUCUCUGAAGGGAGGAGAGAACUUCCACUUUGACCAUGGCCUUGUCUAAAUAUGAUCAGAGUUGGUGAACUCAGAGGGCUUCCAUAGCCUUG